CGGGUCUAAGUUUCCUCAUUUGAGAGAAAGAAGGGUUCAAGAAGAAAAUGUAUCAACAUCGUCUUCAACACGCCGAUUGGAUGCCCUUUCUAACUUUGACAGAUUUGUUAGAGCUUCCUAUCGAGUAGAGAAUAUGAACUCUGAACUGGAUUUAUAUUUAGAGGAGAACUUGAUACCUAGGACUGAAGAGUCAUUUGAUAUAUGCAACUAUUGGAAGGUGACGGGCCUCAAAUACCCUUUGUUGAGUAUGAUUGCCAAGGAUGUAUUUGUUGUGCCUGUUAGCACUGUUGCUUCGGAAUCUACAUUCAGCAAUGGUGGUAGGCCCGUGAGUUCACAUUGAUCGAGACUUCAUCCUUCUACAUUACAAGCAUUAGUAUGUACACAAAAUUGGUUGAAGACUGACAAAAAAGCAACAGUGAAUGAUGAAGAUAAUGAUGUUGAUCCAACAAUGGAGCCUUACGUAGUUGAUCUUGAUGAUUAGAAAGUACAUUGUUCUUUUUAGUAUAUGAGUGAGGACAUGGAUGAGAACAAAUUGUAGUGUUUAGUACUUAUGGUUGCUAGUUAUUAUAUUUGAGUUUAUGGUUGGUAGUUAUUAUUGAUGUAUUAAAUAUUGUUAGGAACAAAAGUACAAUCUCAAACUUUCCUCUAGUAUGCAUAAUUGAAUCACUCAUUUAUUCAUUAUAACAAAAAUUCAAUUAUUCAUUGAAAACCUUAGUUUCCAACCUUAUCUAUUAUUAAAGUAAAAUUGAAAAAAAAAUUACCAUCUCACCCUUAUAAUUCUCUUCAUUAAAAAUAAAUUGACUUACAUAAUUAUUACAAUAUUGAUUU
Cannabis sativa is the source of this 828-nucleotide long non-coding RNA. RefSeq lists it as uncharacterized. Lineage: Eukaryota; Viridiplantae; Streptophyta; Magnoliopsida; Rosales; Cannabaceae. The transcript is spliced from 3 exons. The record is from RefSeq and is a predicted model, not a curated record.